Molecule: ribosomal RNA, 497 nt
Filed under: uncultured bacterium
Lineage: Bacteria
Description: partial 16S ribosomal RNA
Rfam family: Bacterial small subunit ribosomal RNA
Source: RNAcentral
GAUGAACGCUGGCGGCGUGCCUAAUACAUGCAAGUAGAACGCUGAAGCUUGGUGCUUGCACCGAGCGGAUGAGUUGCGAACGGGUGAGUAACGCGUAGGUAACCUGCCUCUUAGCGGGGGAUAACUAUUGGAAACGAUAGCUAAUACCGCAUAAAAGUCGACAUCGCAUGAUGUUGACUUGAAAGGUGCAAUUGCAUCACUAAGAGAUGGACCUGCGUUGUAUUAGCUAGUUGGUGAGGUAACGGCUCACCAAGGCGACGAUACAUAGCCGACCUGAGAGGGUGAUCGGCCACACUGGUACUGAGACACGGCCCAGACUCCUACGGGAGGCAGCAGUAGGGAAUCUUCGGCAAUGGGGGCAACCCUGACCGAGCAACGCCGCGUGAGUGAAGAAGGUUUUCGGAUCGUAAAGCUCUGUUGUAAGAGAAGAACGAGUGUGAGAGUGGAAAGUUCACACUGUGACGGUAACUUACCAGAAAGGGACGGCUAACUACGUG